RNAcentral lists this ribosomal RNA (265 nucleotides) under uncultured archaeon. RNAcentral's name for it is "partial 16S ribosomal RNA". It matches the Rfam family "Archaeal small subunit ribosomal RNA", at positions 717 to 982 of the family's 1478-position model. The record is from RNAcentral.
ACACGACUACAUUAGAUACCCCUGUAGUCCUAGCCGUAAACGAUACUCGCUAGGUGUCGGCCACGGUGCGACCGUUGUCGGUGCCGUAGGGAAGCCGUGAAGCGAGCCACCUGGGAAGUACGGCCGCAAGGCUGAAACUUAAAGGAAUCGGCGGGGGAGCACCACAACGGGUGGAGCUUGCGGUUUAAUUGGAUUCAACGCCGGAAAUCUUACCGGGACCGACAGCAACAUGAAGGCCAGGCUGAAGACUUUGCCGGAUUAGCUG